GGGGAUUUAGCUCAGCGGCAUAAGCACCUGCCUUGCAAGCAGGUGGUCGGUUGUGAGUUCGAUCCCUG
Molecule: transfer RNA, 68 nt
Filed under: Cavia porcellus (domestic guinea pig)
Lineage: Eukaryota; Metazoa; Chordata; Mammalia; Rodentia; Caviidae
Rfam family: tRNA
About the family: Transfer RNA (tRNA) molecules are approximately 80 nucleotides in length.
Source: Rfam by way of RNAcentral